This 196-nucleotide ribosomal RNA is filed under the name uncultured Acinetobacter sp. RNAcentral describes it as "partial 16S ribosomal RNA". It matches the Rfam family "Bacterial small subunit ribosomal RNA", at positions 337 to 524 of the family's 1533-position model. Lineage: Bacteria; Pseudomonadati; Pseudomonadota; Gammaproteobacteria; Moraxellales; Moraxellaceae. The record is from RNAcentral.
UCCUACGGGAGGCAGCAGUGGGGAGUAUUGGACAAUGGGCGAAAGCCUGAUCCAGCCAUGCCGCGUGUGUGAAGAAGGCCUUUUGGUUGUAAGGCACUUUAAGCGAGGAGGAGGCUACUUAGAUUAAUACUCUAGGAUAGUGGACGUUACUCGCAGAAUAAGCACCGGCUAACUCUGUGCCAGCAGCCGCGGUAAU